AGUGAACGCUGGCGGUAGGCCUAACACAUGCAAGUCGAACGGCAGCACAGUAAGAGCUUGCUCUUACGGGUGGCGAGUGGCGGACGGGUGAGGAAUACAUCGGAAUCUACUUUUUCGUGGGGGAUAACGUAGGGAAACUUACGCUAAUACCGCAUACGACCUACGGGUAAAAGCAGGGGAUCUUCGGACCUUGCGCGAUUGAAUGAGCCGAUGUCGGAUUAGCUAGUUGGCGGGGUAGAGGCCCACCAAGGCGACGAUCCGUAGCUGGUCUGAGAGGAUGAUCAGCCACACUGGAACUGAGACACGGUCCAGACUCCUACGGGAGGCAGCAGUGGGGAAUAUUGGACAAUGGGCGCAAGCCUGAUCCAGCCAUACCGCGUGGGUGAAGAAGGCCUUCGGGUUGUAAAGCCCUUUUGUUGGGAAAGAAAAGCAGCAGGUUAAUACCCCGCUGUUCUGACGGUACCCAAAGAAUAAGCACCGGCUAACUUCGUG
Molecule: ribosomal RNA, 492 nt
Filed under: uncultured bacterium
Lineage: Bacteria
Description: partial 16S ribosomal RNA
Rfam family: Bacterial small subunit ribosomal RNA
Source: RNAcentral